Molecule: ribosomal RNA, 180 nt
Filed under: uncultured Glomeromycotina
Lineage: Eukaryota; Fungi; Glomeromycota
Description: partial small subunit ribosomal RNA
Source: RNAcentral
GACCUGGCUGGGUGGUCCGCUUAACGGCGUGUACUGUUCGGCUGGGCCUUACCUCUUGGUGAGCCAGUGUGCCCUUUAUUGGUGUGCAUUGGGGAACCAGGACUUUUACCUUGAGAAAAUUAGAGUGUUUAAAGCAGGCUCACGCUUGAAUACAUUAGCAUGGAAUAACGGAAUAGGACG